UACGUAGGGUGCAAGCGUUAAUCGGAAUUACUGGGCGUAAAGCGUGCGCAGGCGGUUUGCUAAGACCGAUGUGAAAUCCCCGGGCUUAACCUGGGAACUGCAUUGGUGACUGGCAAGCUAGAGUGUGGCAGAGGGGGGUAGAAUUCCACGUGUAGCAGUAAAAUGCGUAGAGAUGUGGAGGAAUACCGAUGGCGAAGGCAGCCCCCUGGGCCAACACUGACGCUCAUGCACGAAAGCGUGGGGAGCAAACAGG
Molecule: ribosomal RNA, 253 nt
Filed under: uncultured bacterium
Lineage: Bacteria
Description: partial 16S ribosomal RNA
Rfam family: Bacterial small subunit ribosomal RNA
Source: RNAcentral